UCAGUGUGUUACAUCACCAUCGUUCUCAGAGGUUUUGUGCUGUUAGGCCUUUUCCAAGUUCAUUUAUUUUGUUUUCUCAUGCUGUUCGUUACCGACAUCAAUUAUUAUGAAGUAUUCAAAGGGGGGGGGGGGGGUGGAGCAUCAAAAUGCAUCAAAAGCAAAGCAUACAUCAGAGUACUUGUAUACUUAGUUUCCGCUAAGCAAACGUCCAAUUCCAAGCUUGAUUUCAGUCAGUAACUCAUGACAAGAGGCACACAAAAACAAGAAGAUGUGGGGAGAGGAGAAAGGGAGCGACACAAAGCUAAUGACUUUCCUCCAGGCACUCUCCGCGGCUGCUUAGAUGCUUUGUGGUGAUGCAUGGCAUGGCCUCUGAGAUGUGGCAGGACGAGAUUGGUGGAGUGAGGCACUGAGCGUGCCAUGCAGAGGGACGUUCAUCAGUGCCACAGCAGCAGGAAAGCAGGGACUGAUGCCACAAGUGGAGCUCGGCGGGAUACAGGAGAACCAAGACAUGGCUGGCCCAGCCUCCCUCCCUCUCCUUCUGCAACAUGGAGUUCUCUGGUAUCUCUGGACUGCUCCUCUUGUCCCACAUUCUGCAGUGUGAGCCUUUUUCUGCACACUGACAACCUGGUGAAAAACAGCCUCCUCCUCCAGGCAGACUGAACAUCUGUCUAUUCCACUGAUGCCCACAGAUGGGAGACCCAGUAGGAGCCCAGAUCCACACAACCCAAAAAGAGCAAGCAACAAACACAAGAUACUUAAUAACUUUAAGCAUGCAACAUUGUACCUUUUUUCCCUUCUGGCUGACUAACUGAUAUAUUUGAAUGGAUUUUCCACAAAAAAAAAAAAAAUAAUAAUAAUAAUAAUUUGCAUGGCCGUUUUAACUUUGAUGUUUGUGUCAUUAUGGUAUAUUUAUGAAUUUUCAUACAUGGAAUGAAUUAAAUGAAUAAAGAUGUUUUUAAUCAGCA
Long non-coding RNA from Carassius carassius (crucian carp), 965 nucleotides. RefSeq lists it as uncharacterized. NCBI's taxonomy places the organism in Eukaryota, Metazoa, Chordata, Actinopteri, Cypriniformes, Cyprinidae. The record is from RefSeq and is a predicted model, not a curated record. The transcript is spliced from 2 exons.